This 2923-nucleotide ribosomal RNA is filed under the name Escherichia coli. RNAcentral describes it as "bacterial LSU rRNA". It matches the Rfam family "Bacterial large subunit ribosomal RNA". Lineage: Bacteria; Pseudomonadati; Pseudomonadota; Gammaproteobacteria; Enterobacterales; Enterobacteriaceae. The record is from RNAcentral.
GGGUUGUGAGGUUAAGCGACUAAGCGUACACGGUGGAUGCCCUGGCAGUCAGAGGCGAUGAAGGACGUGCUAAUCUGCGAUAAGCGUCGGUGAGGUGAUAUGAACCGUUAUAACCGGCGAUUUCCGAAUGGGGAAACCCAGUGUGUUUCGACACACUAUCAUUAACUGAAUCCAUAGGUUAAUGAGGCGAACCGGGGGAACUGAAACAUCUAAGUACCCGAGGAAAAGAAAUCAACCGAGAUUCCCCAGUAGCGGCGAGCGAACGGGGAGGAGCCCAGAGCCUGAAUCAGUGUGUGUGUUAGUGGAAGCGUCUGGAAAGGCGCGCGAUACAGGGUGACAGCCCCGUACACAAAAAUGCACAUAUUGUGAGCUCGAUGAGUAGGGCGGGACACGUGGUAUCCUGUCUGAAUAUGGGGGGACCAUCCUCCAAGGCUAAAUACUCCUGACUGACCGAUAGUGAACCAGUACCGUGAGGGAAAGGCGAAAAGAACCCCGGCGAGGGGAGUGAAAAAGAACCUGAAACCGUGUACGUACAAGCAGUGGGAGCCUCUUAAUGGGGUGACUGCGUACCUUUUGUAUAAUGGGUCAGCGACUUAUAUUCUGUAGCAAGGUUAACCGAAUAGGGGAGCCGAAGGGAAACCGAGUCUUAACUGGGCGUUAAGUUGCAGGGUAUAGACCCGAAACCCGGUGAUCUAGCCAUGGGCAGGUUGAAGGUUGGGUAACACUAACUGGAGGACCGAACCGACUAAUGUUGAAAAAUUAGCGGAUGACUUGUGGCUGGGGGUGAAAGGCCAAUCAAACCGGGAGAUAGCUGGUUCUCCCCGAAAGCUAUUUAGGUAGCGCCUCGUGAAUUCAUCUCCGGGGGUAGAGCACUGUUUCGGCAAGGGGGUCAUCCCGACUUACCAACCCGAUGCAAACUGCGAAUACCGGAGAAUGUUAUCACGGGAGACACACGGCGGGUGCUAACGUCCGUCGUGAAGAGGGAAACAACCCAGACCGCCAGCUAAGGUCCCAAAGUCAUGGUUAAGUGGGAAACGAUGUGGGAAGGCCCAGACAGCCAGGAUGUUGGCUUAGAAGCAGCCAUCAUUUAAAGAAAGCGUAAUAGCUCACUGGUCGAGUCGGCCUGCGCGGAAGAUGUAACGGGGCUAAACCAUGCACCGAAGCUGCGGCAGCGACACUAUGUGUUGUUGGGUAGGGGAGCGUUCUGUAAGCCUGUGAAGGUGUACUGUGAGGUAUGCUGGAGGUAUCAGAAGUGCGAAUGCUGACAUAAGUAACGAUAAAGCGGGUGAAAAGCCCGCUCGCCGGAAGACCAAGGGUUCCUGUCCAACGUUAAUCGGGGCAGGGUGAGUCGACCCCUAAGGCGAGGCCGAAAGGCGUAGUCGAUGGGAAACAGGUUAAUAUUCCUGUACUUGGUGUUACUGCGAAGGGGGGACGGAGAAGGCUAUGUUGGCCGGGCGACGGUUGUCCCGGUUUAAGCGUGUAGGCUGGUUUUCCAGGCAAAUCCGGAAAAUCAAGGCUGAGGCGUGAUGACGAGGCACUACGGUGCUGAAGCGACAAAUGCCCUGCUUCCAGGAAAAGCCUCUAAGCAUCAGGUAACAUCAAAUCGUACCCCAAACCGACACAGGUGGUCAGGUAGAGAAUACCAAGGCGCUUGAGAGAACUCGGGUGAAGGAACUAGGCAAAAUGGUGCCGUAACUUCGGGAGAAGGCACGCUGAUAUGUAGGUGAAGCGACUUGCUCGUGGAGCUGAAAUCAGUCGAAGAUACCAGCUGGCUGCAACUGUUUAUUAAAAACACAGCACUGUGCAAACACGAAAGUGGACGUAUACGGUGUGACGCCUGCCCGGUGCCGGAAGGUUAAUUGAUGGGGUUAGCGGUAACGCGAAGCUCUUGAUCGAAGCCCCGGUAAACGGCGGCCGUAACUAUAACGGUCCUAAGGUAGCGAAAUUCCUUGUCGGGUAAGUUCCGACCUGCACGAAUGGCGUAAUGAUGGCCAGGCUGUCUCCACCCGAGACUCAGUGAAAUUGAACUCGCUGUGAAGAUGCAGUGUACCCGCGGCAAGACGGAAAGACCCCGUGAACCUUUACUAUAGCUUGACACUGAACAUUGAGCCUUGAUGUGUAGGAUAGGUGGGAGGCUUUGAAGUGUGGACGCCAGUCUGCAUGGAGCCGACCUUGAAAUACCACCCUUUAAUGUUUGAUGUUCUAACGUGGGCCCCUUACCGGGGUUGCGGACAGUGUCUGGUGGGUAGUUUGACUGGGGCGGUCUCCUCCUAAAGAGUAACGGAGGAGCACGAAGGUUGGCUAAUCCUGGUCGGACAUCAGGAGGUUAGUGCAAUGGCAUAAGCCAGCUUGACUGCGAGCGUGACGGCGCGAGCAGGUGCGAAAGCAGGUCAUAGUGAUCCGGUGGUUCUGAAUGGAAGGGCCAUCGCUCAACGGAUAAAAGGUACUCCGGGGAUAACAGGCUGAUACCGCCCAAGAGUUCAUAUCGACGGCGGUGUUUGGCACCUCGAUGUCGGCUCAUCACAUCCUGGGGCUGAAGUAGGUCCCAAGGGUAUGGCUGUUCGCCAUUUAAAGUGGUACGCGAGCUGGGUUUAGAACGUCGUGAGACAGUUCGGUCCCUAUCUGCCGUGGGCGCUGGAGAACUGAGGGGGGCUGCUCCUAGUACGAGAGGACCGGAGUGGACGCAUCACUGGUGUUCGGGUUGUCAUGCCAAUGGCACUGCCCGGUAGCUAAAUGCGGAAGAGAUAAGUGCUGAAAGCAUCUAAGCACGAAACUUGCCCCGAGAUGAGUUCUCCCUGACUCCUUGAGAGUCCUGAAGGAACGUUGAAGACGACGACGUUGAUAGGCCGGGUGUGUAAGCGCAGCGAUGCGUUGAGCUAACCGGUACUAAUGAACCGUGAGGCUUAACCUUACAACGCCGAAG